CAAAAAAUAACAUAAAUAUUUGUAGAGUAGCUUGUUUCUUAAAUGUUCUAGAAAACACAUUCCAGAAAAAGUUAAUACAUUCUGAAAUAAUAAGUGUUUUACGAUAGAUUGAUCAUCCUGUAUAUAUACAGCAAUUUUUGGAAGAAAGUAUUUGGAAGAAAAAAAUUGUCAAAUAAAUUAUUAUGAAGUAGGAAAUCCGCUUCUUUUAAUGGAUAGCAUGAAAAAAUGACCAUUUUAACUGGUGUAAUAAGACCAAUAGACAAAUUGGUUUUUUUUUUGUAAACAUGUAAAUGGGGACCAAUAAAUUAACUGUGAGCCCAAUAAGCAGCAUCUACUGUACCUGUCUAUUUUAAUUAAACAAAUUACCAAUUUGCACUACACACCUUUAGCAUUGUUUAUUUAUUAUUUUAUAUGACUUUAUACACAACUUAGCUAAAAGUUCAAAUAGGCACAUCACAUCAUUAAUUCGAAAUCUUUAAUUAAGAUUAAUUUAUCAUAUUUAAGAUCUUUACUUUGAUAUGCAAUUGCUGUUAUCUGAAAACUUUAGCCAUUCUGUCUUUAGUAAGUAGUACAUAUACCUAUAAGUUAAACAAAAUUGAAACUAGGACUAAAUUCUGAGGAAGCACAAUAUUCACUGUCCUCCAUCUAUACGAUUAUAUUCUUUACUUAAGAACAUCAAUUUGAUAGGGUUUUGCAUUGUUAUGAUUUUAUGAGUCAUGACCAGUGCUGUAAUAAGAUACUUUAAAUUAGUAUCUGGAUACAGAUACAAGUAUCUUAAGAGUAUCAUAAGAUACAUUUUAAGAUACAAAUAAGAAAACAGAUAUUUUUUUUUAUAAAUACCUAUUUAAUUAAUUAAAAAUAUAAAAUUACAAAAUUAUAACAAAACAACGGGUGCAUAAUUUAUAAUACAAUCAUUUUUAUCAACAUUUUUAUGUCAGUUUUCAAAUAUAAUUAAUAAUAUUCUUAUAAAGUUAUAAGCUAUAACACAUAAUAUAUAACAAUAUUAAAAUAUUGGUUAAUUAUUGGUAAACAUAAAAUAAAUAAUGGGUAUUAUCCACUUGUCAAUACACAAUAUUCAUACACUCAUAUAUAAUAAUUUAUAAUAAUAAAGAAAUCAGAAAAUAAUACAUAUUAACAAUAUUUUUAUUUUAAACAUAUUAGAUUUUAGAAUUUUAUGUUUUAUUUUUAUAUUUUUUUUUUUUUUACUGUAUCUUAGAUAUAAGUAUCUAGAUAUAUUAUAGCACUGGUCAUGACACAUACACAGCUGCCUAUAACUUUCAUUCUUUUUCUCAGUAGGUGGGCAUCUAUUUCAUAAUUAUAAUUUUAAAACAACAUUAUUUUAUAGUAUUAUAUACUAAUAUACUUCUAUUCUUAUUUCAUUAUCAAGACUGGACAAAAAAACGGCCAAUUUUAUCAUCAACAUAUUGUGAUAUAAUGUUUAAUAGUCUUUUUUUUAAUACCUAUACAUAAAAAAAUUGAUCAAAACUAGAAAUCAAAAUCAAACUAAACCUCUAAUAUAUACCUAAUAUAGAAUAUCUGUAGGAAUACUUACACAAAUAAUAAUUUGUGAGCUAAAAUUGUUCAUAUUUUAUGUAUUACUACUAGGCAAAUGAUAUAAUAUGUAUGUCAUAAAAUGAAUAUUUAAAUUAUACCUAGGUACAUAUUCUAAGAACUAUGAUCUGUAGAUUGAUAAUAAAUGUAUUGAUAUUUUUUUAAUAUCUAGCUAUAGGGAAUCCAUGUAAAUUUUUGGCACAAAUAAUUAAUUAUAUUAAUAAUUAUUCAAAUAUUACAAAAACAUAAAUCAUCAAGUAGCACCUACUUAGUCAAAGUUGCAGUUGAAAACUAUACACAAGCACUUAUAAAUAAUCUUCUAUUAUUAUAAUCACCACAUUUUUCACUCAUUCUUUGGUAUCUUUUUUGAUGGUGGUUCUUGUUCUAUGACGAAUUGUUCAAUUUUCAAUCCAUUUACUCAUUAAGUUAUUCUCUUUGUAGUGCUGUUAUACAUUUCCAUAUAGAUGGAUGAACUUAUAAAUUUAACAUAAACAAAACGCAGUUAAGCCACCCUUCCAUAAGUGGCGGAUCCAGGGGAAGAGGCAAGGGCCUUGCCCCUAGACUAUAGACUAUACAAAAUGGUUGCACCCGUCAUCUGUAUCACUUUUUUUUUAUUUUAAGACAUCUACUCCAAAAUUUAACUCUGGAUCCGCCACUACCCAGUGCCAAUAAAAUACAUAGAAAAUAAAUAGGUAUAUGAUAAUAUCUAUAUGCUUUCUUGUCUGUCAAAAGACUUCACAUCCAUAUUAUAGUUAUCCUAUAAAUCUGUGAACAUAUUCGACUAAUGAGAAGAAGAGAACUAGCUUCUAUUGAUAGAACACUGAACCUAUCACUUAGUUACUGACCAUAUACUUGUAUCCAUUUUGUCAUGUUUUCCUAAAUUAUUUUACUAACUCACAUUCACAUAAUAUGCUACAUAACUUGAAAAUAUGUAAUAGUUUCCAAAAUCAAAUAUUAAUCAUAUGUAAGUAAUCAAUUUAAAUUCCACCAUUAUUUGCCAAAGAAUUUAAAAUGAUUAUUAUUUCUAGAAAUAUCUUUAUUAUUAAUAAUAAGUAUAAGUACUUUUUUUAUUCAAAUUAAUUGCUCAUAUUAUUUAAUAAUUUUAAUUCUAGUUUUGGAAUAAAGAUGUUAACAGUAAUAUAUUUUUUUGUAAUUUGUAUAAAACACUGUUACGAAAAUCGAUUUAAUAUUUAACUUAUCCUUAAGCCAAGUAUAUGUGUAUAAAGGUAUAUACAGACCAAGCAACAUUUUGUUGGCAACAUGUAUCCUGUCAAUUGGUAACAAGUCGAUGGAUAUACGUCGAUUUUGGGCAGCAUGACAUCAAAGAUAUAUAUUGCGUAUUACUUUAUCUAUCUAUGUUUUCCAUUUAGAAUGGAAAACAUCGCUCAGUGUGGACGAUAUUAUGAUCAAUUGCCUGCUGUACACACGUACACUUUUGUUGUUAUUAUUUUAUAUUAUUUAAAUGUUCGCAUUAUGUAUUCAACUAAUAAUAGUCGACGCCAUAGCUUAUAUCAUUUUUGAAACAUUUUUUCUGUAAUCAUCUUUUUUUUCUUUUUUUAACAUGAGUAGCUAUGAUGACGAACGCAGCAUUAGUACCAGCAGCAACAGUUGUCAGAUCCGAAUCUAAGAAAAAAACGACACGGUAAAACACGUCAAAUGCAUUUUACUUCAAAAUAACAAACAUUAGUUUUAAGUCAAUAAUAAUAUAAAUAAUAGUAUAC
This is a non-coding RNA of Cinara cedri, 3272 nucleotides long. NCBI's taxonomy places the organism in Eukaryota, Metazoa, Arthropoda, Insecta, Hemiptera, Aphididae. The record is from the annotation of a GenBank genome assembly.